Molecule: ribosomal RNA, 714 nt
Filed under: uncultured Moraxella sp.
Lineage: Bacteria; Pseudomonadati; Pseudomonadota; Gammaproteobacteria; Moraxellales; Moraxellaceae
Description: bacterial SSU rRNA
Rfam family: Bacterial small subunit ribosomal RNA
Source: RNAcentral
AGCUAAUACCGCAUACGACCUACGGGUGAAAGGGGGCUUUUAGCUCUCGCUAUUAGAUGAGCCUAAGUCGGAUUAGCUGGUUGGUGGGGUAAAGGCCUACCAAGGCGACGAUCUGUAGCUGGUCUGAGAGGAUGAUCAGCCACACUGGGACUGAGACACGGCCCAGACUCCUACGGGAGGCAGCAGUGGGGAAUAUUGGACAAUGGGCGAAAGCCUGAUCCAGCCAUGCCGCGUGUGUGAAGAAGGCCUUUUGGUUGUAAAGCACUUUAAGUGGGGAGGAAAAGCUUAUGGUUAAUACCCAUAAGCCCUGACGUUACCCACAGAAUAAGCACCGGCUAACUCUGUGCCAGCAGCCGCGGUAAUACAGAGGGUGCAAGCGUUAAUCGGAAUUACUGGGCGUAAAGCGCGCGUAGGUGGUUAUUUAAGUCAGAUGUGAAAGCCCCGGGCUUAACCUGGGAACUGCAUCUGAUACUGGAUAACUAGAGUAGGUGAGAGGGGAGUAGAAUUCCAGGUGUAGCGGUGAAAUGCGUAGAGAUCUGGAGGAAUACCGAUGGCGAAGGCAGCUCCCUGGCAUCAUACUGACGCUGAGGUGCGAAAGCGUGGGUAGCAAACAGGAUUAGAUACCCUGGUAGUCCACGCCGUAAACGAUGUCUAUCUAGUCGUUGGGUCUUUUAAAGACUUAGUGACGCAGUUAACGCAAUAAGUAGACCGCCU